GCCUGCCCUUCUGCUGGGUCCCUCAUUCAGAAUGACAUUCUCGACAUCCUGGCAUUGAAACUGAGCAGCCACCUGUCUGGUAAUCUUGGGAACAACCUGUGGCUGCCUUAAGCUUGACUGCCAGUGGAUUACAGGUCUAGGGGAGGUUCCGAUGGGCACAGGCUCAGCCUCUUCCUGACAUAAGGAACGCAAACCCACCGACCCAAGCUCUCUGCUCCCGCUGAAACACAGGCUGGAGGCGCCAGUUCAGAUCAUCUGGGCAAGAUAGCUAAGACUCCAGGCUGCUACCAAGGAAGGGACAACAUGGUACUAACUGGUUACAUUUUAGCCCUCCAGCUCCCAGGAUACACACACUACACUGGUACAAAUACACUCCGCCCCUGGGAGGGCCCCCGCUCACAGACAUUUUGGGAACCUACAAGGGCAGGAAGCUGGGGAGGAGGGCCCCAGGGCAGGCAUCUAUAGAGAGGAGGAACUGAACACAAUAGUGACAAUUUACCGAAAGCUUACCCACAGUAAACUAAACUCUUGUUUACACUGCUUCGUCUAAUCUUCCAAGAGUCCCCUGAAACAGAUGAAAAAUUAAUACCAUGAAGAGAUACCAGAAGGAGGAAGCUGCAGUGCUGAUUGGACAAAAGCUGGAAUCUGGGUUUGAUGUUUGCCCAUCCAAUGCUGAUCUUCCCAGAACCGCCCAGCUGACUGCUUCUCCCCACAGGUUGCCUUCAACUGACCACAAAGAAAAGUGAGCCCAGAAGUGAAGAGCAAGCACUGCCUACAUUCCUGAAGCUUCUUGCCCCAUUGUCCCUCCCGAGACCCAACAGCAUUUCUACCCAUGGAUUCUGUGCCAUUCUCCUUCUCUUGGAAUCUUCCAGGUAUGUCCACAGAAUCCUUCUCAACACGGCAACACAGCCAGAUGAUCGGAGCAGGCACGUGGCUCACAUUUGCCAUCCCUUACCUUGGAAGAGGAACAUCUGCAAAGGUUUUCCUCCAGGAAUGUGCCUGAGUUUAAAAAGUCUCUGUGGCAUUUGCUACUCUGAAAAUCUAGCUGAAGAAAUGCGGCAGAGGGCGGGUCCUGAGAGCCCACUGCAGCCUUACAGCUUUGGAAACGUGGAGAUGUCCUGAUCAGGGUAAUUCUGAUGCUAAGAUGGUAAAAUAUGAAGGCGCACUGAUUCAGCAAGCUCUAAACCAAGGGUCGCAUGUGCAGAUGCCUUCAAGGACACUCAGUUUCUGGGGAUGAGAAGGGACCACUGAGCCACCCUCCUCAGAUGGAAUCCUAGGAACAUUGGCAGAAGGUGUUCCUCCCGGGACUUUCCAGUCAACUGAAACCCUCUUCUCAAAGCUGUGCUGAUUACAUUCUCCACCAAUUUUGUCCACUUCCUUUUUUUUAAUUAAAUUUUUUUUUAUUUCUUUAUUUAUUUUUGACUGCACUGGCUAUUCAUUGCUGUGUG
This is a long non-coding RNA of Bubalus bubalis (water buffalo), 1448 nucleotides long. RefSeq lists it as uncharacterized. The transcript is spliced from 8 exons. Lineage: Eukaryota; Metazoa; Chordata; Mammalia; Artiodactyla; Bovidae. The record is from RefSeq and is a predicted model, not a curated record.